CCUACGGGAGGCAGCAGUGAGGAAUAUUGGUCAAUGGCCGGGAGGCUGAACCAGCCAAGUCGCGUGAGGGAAGACGGCCCUACGGGUUGUAAACCUCUUUUGUCAGGGAGCAAGGUGCAGGUCGGGACCUGCUGUGAGAGUACCUGAAGAAAAAGCAUCGGCUAACUCCGUGCCAGCAGCCGCGGUAAUACGGAGGAUGCGAGCGUUAUCCGGAUUUAUUGGGUUUAAGGGGUGCGCAGGCGGUGGCACAAGUCAGCGGUAAAAUCGCGGGGCUCAACCCCGCUCCGCAGUUGAAACUGUGUGCCUUGAGUGCGCGAAAGGUAGGCGGAAUGCGUGGUGUAGCGGUGAAAUGCAUAGAUAUCACGCAGAACUCCGAUCGCGAAGGCAGCCUACCGGCGCGCAACUGACGCUGAGGCACGAAAGCGUGGGUAUCGAACAGGAUUAGAUACCCCAGUAGUC
This 459-nucleotide ribosomal RNA is filed under the name uncultured bacterium. RNAcentral's name for it is "partial 16S ribosomal RNA". It matches the Rfam family "Bacterial small subunit ribosomal RNA", at positions 338 to 795 of the family's 1533-position model. The record is from RNAcentral.